Molecule: long non-coding RNA, 281 nt
Organism: Homo sapiens (human)
Lineage: Eukaryota; Metazoa; Chordata; Mammalia; Primates; Hominidae
Source: Ensembl
CACUCUGUACAUCUUUCUGAACUCAAUGAAUUAUACACUAUUGCUGCUUAAUUGCUUUCAGAAAUGGACCCCUGCACAGGUGGGAAUGGAUGUGUUCACAUAUGUCAGAGUGAGAAUGGCACGGCCAGGUGUGCCUGUCAUGCAGGGUACCAGCUGCCUGAAGAUAAAAACAUUUGUGAAGAUAUAAAUGAGUGUGCUGAAGGUCUUUCUUACUGUGGCCACUGCUGUGUAAACUCUAUGGGAUCUUUCACUUGUGCCUGCCAAACUGGCUUUGAGCUGGG